CCUUUUGUAUAAUGGGUCAGCGACUUAUAUUCUGUAGCAAGGUUAACCGAAUAGGGGAGCCGAAGGGAAACCGAGUCUUAACUGGGCGUUAAGUUGCAGGGUAUAGACCCGAAACCCGGUGAUCUAGCCAUGGGCAGGUUGAAGGUUGGGUAACACUAACUGGAGGACCGAACCGACUAAUGUUGAAAAAUUAGCGGAUGACUUGUGGCUGGGGGUGAAAGGCCAAUCAAACCGGGAGAUAGCUGGUUCUCCCCGAAAGCUAUUUAGGUAGCGCCUCGUGAAUUCAUCUCCGGGGGUAGAGCACUGUUUCGGCAAGGGGGUCAUCCCGACUUACCAACCCGAUGCAAACUGCGAAUACCGGAGAAUGUUAUCACGGGAGACACACGGCGGGUGCUAACGUCCGUCGUGAAGAGGGAAACAACCCAGACCGCCAGCUAAGGUCCCAAAGUCAUGGUUAAGUGGGAAACGAUGUGGGAAGGCCCAGACAGCCAGGAUGUUGGCUUAGAAGCAGCCAUCAUUUAAAGAAAGCGUAAUAGCUCACUGGUCGAGUCGGCCUGCGCGGAAGAUGUAACGGGGCUAAACCAUGCACCGAAGCUGCGGCAGCGACGCUUAUGCGUUGUUGGGUAGGGGAGCGUUCUGUAAGCCUGUGAAGGUGUACUGUGAGGUAUGCUGGAGGUAUCAGAAGUGCGAAUGCUGACAUAAGUAACGAUAAAGCGGGUGAAAAGCCCGCUCGCCGGAAGACCAAGGGUUCCUGUCCAACGUUAAUCGGGGCAGGGUGAGUCGACCCCUAAGGCGAGGCCGAAAGGCGUAGUCGAUGGGAAACAGGUUAAUAUUCCUGUACUUGGUGUUACUGCGAAGGGGGGACGGAGAAGGCUAUGUUGGCCGGGCGACGGUUGUCCCGGUUUAAGCGUGUAGGCUGGUUUUCCAGGCAAAUCCGGAAAAUCAAGGCUGAGGCGUGAUGACGAGGCACUACGGUGCUGAAGCAACAAAUGCCCUGCUUCCAGGAAAAGCCUCUAAGCAUCAGGUAACAUCAAAUCGUACCCCAAACCGACACAGGUGGUCAGGUAGAGAAUACCAAGGCGCUUGAGAGAACUCGGGUGAAGGAACUAGGCAAAAUGGUGCCGUAACUUCGGGAGAAGGCACGCUGAUAUGUAGGUGAAGCGACUUGCUCGUGGAGCUGAAAUCAGUCGAAGAUACCAGCUGGCUGCAACUGUUUAUUAAAAACACAGCACUGUGCAAACACGAAAGUGGACGUAUACGGUGUGACGCCUGCCCGGUGCCGGAAGGUUAAUUGAUGGGGUUAGCGCAAGCGAAGCUCUUGAUCGAAGCCCCGGUAAACGGCGGCCGUAACUAUAACGGUCCUAAGGUAGCGAAAUUCCUUGUCGGGUAAGUUCCGACCUGCACGAAUGGCGUAAUGAUGGCCAGGCUGUCUCCACCCGAGACUCAGUGAAAUUGAACUCGCUGUGAAGAUGCAGUGUACCCGCGGCAAGACGGAAAGACCCCGUGAACCUUUACUAUAGCUUGACACUGAACAUUGAGCCUUGAUGUGUAGGAUAGGUGGGAGGCUUUGAAGUGUGGACGCCAGUCUGCAUGGAGCCGACCUUGAAAUACCACCCUUUAAUGUUUGAUGUUCUAACGUUGACCCGUAAUCCGGGUUGCGGACAGUGUCUGGUGGGUAGUUUGACUGGGGCGGUCUCCUCCUAAAGAGUAACGGAGGAGCACGAAGGUUGGCUAAUCCUGGUCGGACAUCAGGAGGUUAGUGCAAUGGCAUAAGCCAGCUUGACUGCGAGCGUGACGGCGCGAGCAGGUGCGAAAGCAGGUCAUAGUGAUCCGGUGGUUCUGAAUGGAAGGGCCAUCGCUCAACGGAUAAAAGGUACUCCGGGGAUAACAGGCUGAUACCGCCCAAGAGUUCAUAUCGACGGCGGUGUUUGGCACCUCGAUGUCGGCUCAUCACAUCCUGGGGCUGAAGUAGGUCCCAAGGGUAUGGCUGUUCGCCAUUUAAAGUGGUACGCGAGCUGGGUUUAGAACGUCGUGAGACAGUUCGGUCCCUAUCUGCCGUGGGCGCUGGAGAACUGAGGGGGGCUGCUCCUAGUACGAGAGGACCGGAGUGGACGCAUCACUGGUGUUCGGGUUGUCAUGCCAAUGGCACUGCCCGGUAGCUAAAUGCGGAAGAGAUAAGUGCUGAAAGCAUCUAAGCACGAAACUUGCCCCGAGAUGAGUUCUCCCUGACCCUUUAAGGGUCCUGAAGGAACGUUGAAGACGACGACGUUGAUAGGCCGGGUGUGUAAGCGCAGCGAUGCGUUGAGCUAACCGGUACUAAUGAACCGUGAGGCUUAACCUU
Molecule: ribosomal RNA, 2341 nt
Filed under: Escherichia coli
Lineage: Bacteria; Pseudomonadati; Pseudomonadota; Gammaproteobacteria; Enterobacterales; Enterobacteriaceae
Description: partial 23S ribosomal RNA
Rfam family: Bacterial large subunit ribosomal RNA
Source: RNAcentral